CCGGCCUGCGCGGGUGAAAGGAACAGGUCAGCGCCCGCCGGAGCCUCGGCCAACCCCCACGCUCCCCGACGUCCGAAGACCUAGAAUGCCCCUCAAGAUCUUCAGAGCCCCCCGACCACUCGCUCGAUAGUUCCGAAGGUCGCCCACUGCCCCUCUCAACUCCCGCGACCCCCAGACCAUCGCGGGUAUGCCGGUGGACCCCGCGUGCCCCCACCAUAAUCCUGGAGACAGCUAUUUGGCCGAAUUAUUCCCGGACCCUUCCGAACAUUUUGGGACUAUCUCUGGAGGUCUCCGACUGCCCCUUCAUAAGCCCAGAUUCCAAACUCUUUCCGCACGAUAUCGAGAGGGACCCCGAUUUCUCCAGGUACCCCGACAGAACAGGGUCGGCCGCCGCUGCGGCCCCGGCACCCCCGAUUCCCCUUCCAGAUAUCCAGGUAUCCAAAUACCCUGAUGGCCCACGUAGUCCCAGAUUGCCCCUCCAUUUAUCCCAGAGGCUUCCCGCCUAACGCCCCCACCCCCGCAAUUCACUACAGACCCUGAGGGCCCAGGUGUCCCCAGUGACCCGGGCAGACCCCUGUGGCACAACUCCCCGGAGACUCCUGAGAGCCCCCGGGUCUGGUUACACGGCCCCGCGGUGCGGAUGCGGGUGCGGGUACGGGUGCAGGUCGGAGACCUGGAGCCCAGCCCGGGUCGCCGGGCCCCCCUGCUCGCCGCCACCGCCACCGCCACUAGGGCGCCUGGGCUGCUUUGUUUACUACCUGUCGGAAGGAAAAGGGUCCGUGACGCCCCCCGCGUGCGGCUCCAUGACCCGAAGUCGGUCGGGUGGACGCACGGCCGCCAGCGACGCGUUUGGAGCUCCUGGGCGCGCUCACCUGGCGGCCCGCCCGAGCCUGGGCGCCGCUGUAGCCGGCUGGUCCCGUGCCCGGCGACCUGACCCGCGCAGUCACCUACCUGGCGACAGGCAAGGAGGCCUGGCUGUGGGAGGCAGCGUGAGCGCUUGGCCUCCCUCUACCUCAGGCGCCCCCUCUGCUCUCCCAGGACCCUGGGCUGUGCUCCUUUUCCCACCCAGGAGAGGCUUUAUUCCGUGAGCGAGAAGGGGAAGUCGAGGCCCAGAAAAGUUAAGGUCCCCGCCCCAGCUCUGACAACUAAACACGGGGGUGCAGAAGUGGAACCCACGUUUACCAGGGAACUCUGCAGCCUCCAGCAGAGCUUUGCUCCUGGUAGUUACUCGGUACAUUUGCAGUGAAUGUUGGCCUGAGCCAGGACCUACUUGGGAACUGGAAGAGUCUGUUGAGCUGGGCAGGGGGUAGCCCUUGAGGAGACUUGGGUACCACGGGAGGGUUUGGGGCCCUGAGCAUGAUAGGGCUGGGAGACUCAAGAAGCCGGGAAGGGCAGGUGCCCUGGAGAGUGGAGGGGUGGUAGGGGCCUGAACUUGAGGAGGCUUUGAAGGCCCUCCUGUUGGGAGGGGACACCAGCCAAUGAGAGGUGAGAAAUGAGGCCUCUCUUAGGUAUCAAAAGUGGGGGAAGCCUGGGGACAGAGGUCCGGGGGGGGCACUUGGGCACAGUGCUACUGUAGUGGAAGGAGGAAUGGGGUGCAAUGAGAGACAGUCUGUGACAACCACUUUGUGGAGGAAGAAACUGAGGGGCACAGGGGCUCAGACACCUGUCCAGGGCCCUACAGCCGGCCAGUCUCAAGAAGCUUACCCCCAACAUGCACUGUUUCUGUGACUUUCACUAUAAGCUGUGGACACACUGUGUCCUGAUGCUCAUUCUGGGUGGCCGGGCAGCCUCUCUGGGCCACCUUUCAGGGUCUCUGUGGUGUCAUAGGUGAGAGGGGCGGAAUGGUCCCUGCUUUCCUUCCUCCUGGAAUGUUGUGGCCCUCCCACCUCUGAUCUGACCUUGUCUGAAGGGAAAUACACUGGACUUUAUUCAC
Felis catus (domestic cat) is the source of this 1933-nucleotide long non-coding RNA. RefSeq lists it as uncharacterized. Lineage: Eukaryota; Metazoa; Chordata; Mammalia; Carnivora; Felidae. The transcript is spliced from 2 exons. The record is from RefSeq and is a predicted model, not a curated record.